UAUCCCUCUAUUUUAUAUUAUGAUAGGCGUUGUCGUUUCUGGAAUGUACUAGACAACAGUAAACCUCAGCUUACUACAGUGUUACAAGACAGCUUGAGCUGCUGUUUUUCUCCUGAUGGUCGAGUCGCUGCUGUUGGAUCAAAAAAUGGAACGGUUCAUUUUAUUUCAUACCCUGUAACGGUGCAAAAACUAUCCAACCUCUGUCGCCACAUCAUUCGACGCAUUAUCCGAAACACAAAUGAUAUUGAUCGGUUAUACGUACCUCUUCCACUAAAGCGUUUCCUAAUGUACCACAACCAUGAAACGUUAGAGUGAAGGAAGCGCAUGGAUCAGUCUAUAUUCCAAUGGACAUUAAAAGUGCAAAUAUUGUAAAAAUGGAAUCUUUUAAGAAAGGAUUGCCUGAUUUGCUGACCAAUAACGUUAUGGAUAUGUUGUUGCUGUGAAUUCAGUAGCUAGGGAGUACACUUUUAAAUGUCUUUAUUUUUUUGUUCAAGUAAUGUAUGAAACAAUUACUGUUUUUACUUAUUUUUAUUUUUUCGGAAUACAAGAAUAAGUAUUCAAGAAUUUUUAAAAUAUGAAGCAGCUACUUAUAUUUAUCAUGGUUCAUAAAUAUAAUUUAGACAAAGUAUUUCACAUAUAUAUUUUUUUCAAUCAAAAGUUGCGAUGCCUGUUGUUAGUUUUAACAUAAUCAUUUCAUCUUUAGUUUUAUCCAUAAUUAAUAAUUAUUCUGAAAUGAUUUUAUUUAAAUUAUGUUUACCAAAAAAAAAAUAUAUGAAUGUAUAUUGCAAUGAUAAAUGAAUAUCAAAACCAGACAAUUGUAUCAGAACAAAAUUGAAUCUUAUAAAGAUUGUUUUUAAAUAACUACCCUUAGUAACAUAAUUAAAUAUUUUGAACAUAAAAAACAUUUAAAUGCUGCUAUACAUUGAAAUGUAAUGAGAGGCAGGAUGAUAACGCAUUUACACAAGGGAACGCUCACAGUGGGGUAUCUGGCGGUUCAAUUCGCCCUCUAAUGCGAGACCACCUUUGGGACCAGGAAAUUUGUGGUGUUCUCGGGGUUGGUCUCUAAUUAGAGGGCUAGCUUUGUGUUAAAAGGUUGAAGAUUGUUAUUUGGGUCUUUGCAAAAGUGGUCUCAAAUUAGAGGGGUCUCGGAAUUUGAGGGGUCUCGAAUUGGAGGAUGCACUGUAUGAACAGGGGAGGCUGAUCAAGGGUAGGGGGGUGCCACAAUGGAAAAGUGAGAGGAUGCUGUAUGAAGGAUCAAAAUGAAAUAAGGUCAUUUUUAACUACUUAGAUCAUAAUUGUUUUGUGUAGCAAAUUUUAAGGAGAGGAGGCCCAUAACUUUUUCUGGGGACUUUCCCCUUCUCCCGUAAGUCUCACACCUGUUACGCCACUGACCACUGAAUGGAUUACUAAGAGAGAUGCUUUUUGACGUUUUGGCCUAAUCUAAUUUAAGUAUGAAAACGUGAUGGGUAAACAAUGCCAAACAAAACUGUGAAUAUUAAACCCCUAGGAACCUAGAGCACUGCUUUUCAUUUUCCAGGGGACCCACCUUGACAAUCCAUUUAUGCCAACAACCAACCUCCUAUUCACAAGCUUUCUUGAUAAUAAAUAAUGAUAAAACAAUAGCCAAGUCCCAGAUAUCAAAAGAAAUGCUUGUCCAAUAUAUUUAUCAUAGGAUAGUAUAGCAUAGGAGUCUUUUUGGUGUGAAUCACACCAAGGAUAACAGUCCACUGAGUCCAAUGACUUGUUUCCAGUGGGAUCCUUCUGGUGGUGGCUUCAUACUCAUUUUUCAUUACUUAUUCAUAUUUAUUUGUGGCAGAUUUAUUAAUUGGAAUGAUGGAAGGCAGGAGAUGGAGAUGCAGAAAGUUGAUCAACCCAACCCCACAAUGGUGGGGCUGUGGUUUUUAUAGGCAUGGCACGUCUAGAUGGUGCAAAAUAGCACUCUCGGAGUUGAAUAUUAAUGAUUUUUUCCUUUCCUGUAUCUUGUGAUCUGCUAGAGAAAAUAUUAGCAGCCCAAAUUUGGGUGGUGAUCCACGAUUUGGGAAUUGUUGGUCUAGAGAAAGUGGGGUUUGUGGAACAUGUUCCAUAGCAUAGUGAAGAGACUACAGCGAAAAAUGUCAUAAUAUCUUUCUGUACAGUGAUAUGAAUGAAUUCAUUAUAUUGUAUUGAGACACAGGUGGUCAUGUACCAUAUGUUAGGCGUGCAUGCUUUAAAAGCACAAUAUGUACAAUGAAAUAUUUUAUUGAAAUCCAUUUUCAAUUAUGGUUUGAAUUUAUGGUAAUGGAUCAAAAAAAGUACGUUCUACCUUCUAAAAGGGUACACAUGCCUGUAUGUUUACACUUGAACAAUAUUUUUGUUUUCAUCAUCAUGUGACAAUCUGGGACCUCGAUAGUUGCAUACUUGUCAACUCUAUUCCAUUUAGUGUACUCAGGACUUUAUAGCACAAUUUAUAUAAUGGACAAUUAGUUAUCACUUUGUAGUAAAACCAAAGACAUCAUUUUUCAGAACAAUCACAUUACCAGUAAUGAAAAACCCCACAAAGUCAGAAUUACUGUGGACCAGUUGUUUCUAGCAGGGGAGGGUAUUGCAAAAUCCGUAGUUAAAACUGAAGAUUGUAUUAUGACUAAUAGAAAGGCAUCAUUUGUAAAUGAAAGUGCUAAAAAAUAUAGUGUUAAGCACUUAUCCACCGUUUUCUUGAUCAUCCUAGUGCUUUUUUGUACUCUGAUAUUCCUGUUCAAGAAAACAUUUAAACCAAACUUAAAAUAUAUUGUUGAACUUAGGACUUUAAACUCACUUUUGGGCAAAAGAAACUUGAAAGUAUUGGCAGUGCUUCCAAGAAAUAUCAGUCUGGUGUGGGUGGGCGCUGGGAGCGAGUGUUUUAAUUUUAAUAUGGUCUCUUUUGUGUUUUGUCUUCAUUUAAUUUUCUGAAACCUUCCAAUAAAAUGUUUUUUUCUUGAUGGGGGAGGGGGAAUUGGGGUCAUGAUCGAAUCCGUCUUACCUUAUAAUGGUAUCCACAUAGAGAGGGUGAUGCACGCCCAAGUAUUGUGUAUGACAAUUAUUUUUCUUAAUGCAAUUUAGGGGGGUGCAAUCACACCAUCUGUAUCUGCCCCAGCUGUUUUCAUAGUUUCAUUCAUUUAAUCAAAUUUAUUGUGAGUGUUUUCAGCGAAACCGGCACAUAAAUGUUCAUUAUUAUUAU
Molecule: long non-coding RNA, 3193 nt
Organism: Anneissia japonica
Lineage: Eukaryota; Metazoa; Echinodermata; Crinoidea; Comatulida; Comatulidae
Exons: 2
Source: RefSeq, a predicted model, not a curated record